Molecule: ribosomal RNA, 305 nt
Filed under: uncultured bacterium
Lineage: Bacteria
Description: bacterial SSU rRNA
Rfam family: Bacterial small subunit ribosomal RNA
Source: RNAcentral
CCCUACGGGAGGCAGCAGUGGGGAAUAUUGCACAAUGGGGGAAACCCUGAUGCAGCGACGCCGCGUGAGUGAAGUAGUAUUUCGGUAUGUAAAGCUCUAUCAGCAGGGAAGAAAAUGACGGUACCUGAUUAAUAAGCCCCGGCUAACUACGUGCCAGCAGCCGCGGUAAUACGUAGGGGGCAAGCGUUAUCCGGAUUUACUGGGUGUAAAGGGAGCGUAGACGGCAGGGCAAGUCUGAAGUGAAAUGCCGGGGCUUAACCCCGGAACUGCUUUGGAAACUGUUCAGCUAGAGUGCAGGAGAGGGA